GAUGAACGCUGGCGGCGUGCUUAACACAUGCAAGUCGAACGAGAAGUGAAGACGGAAACCUUCGGGCGGAAGGCUUUAUUUCGAGUGGCGGACGGGUGAGUAACGCGUGGGUAACCUGCCUCAUACAGGGGGAUAACAGUUGGAAACGACUGUUAAUACCGCAUAAGACCACAGCACCGCAUGGUGCGGGGGUAAAAACUCCGGUGGUAUGAGAUGGACCCGCGUUCGAUUAGCCAGUUGGCGGGGUAACGGCCCACCAAAGCGACGAUCGAUAGCCGAUCUGAGAGGAUGACCGGCCACAUUGGGACUGAGACACGGCCCAAACUCCUACGGGAGGCAGCAGUGGGUAAUAUUGCACAAUGGGGGAAACCCUGAUGCAGCGACGCCGGGUGAGUGAAGAAGUAUUUCGGGAUGUAAAGCUCUAUCAGCAGGGAAGAAAAUGACGGUACCUGAGGAAGAAGCCCCGGCUAACUACGUG
Molecule: ribosomal RNA, 478 nt
Filed under: uncultured bacterium
Lineage: Bacteria
Description: partial 16S ribosomal RNA
Rfam family: Bacterial small subunit ribosomal RNA
Source: RNAcentral